ACAAAUCAACAAAAAUUCACUCAAAUAUUUCCAAUUCGCAGCAACUGAUUUACUUCACUCAUUCAAGCUGGUAAUUUUUAAUAACUUUUGAAAAGUUAUUUCAUUUCAAGCAUAUCAACAAUUUUCUGCAUUUUCGCCAAAACCAAGGCUAAACAUCAAAAACUUUGUUUUCAAAAUCCAAUCAUGCAUACAUCUAUUCUUCUGUAAUUUAUAUAUAUUGCUAAAUACAUGAAAAAGAAAAUAGAAAUAGAAGGAUGGAAUUGUGGUGAGCGGAUGCUGGACAGCCGGUGAAGCGCGACAUCGACAACCCCUAUGUUGAUGGCCGCCGGACUGAGGGCGCGAAGCAGGAGACAGGGGCGGCGGCGCUGUAGUCUCGGGUCGCCGGAGAAGGCGCGGCCGCGGUUGCAGCUGGUGCGGCGAGGACAGGGGCAGGAGGAGAGUGAGAGGGAGACUAGAGGUGAGGACAAGGAGAGAGGGCGGCGGCGGCAGUACUGGAAGGGGAGGCGGCUGGGCGCGCCUCUGUCGACACUGGGACGGCGGUGGUGGCUUGCGUUCGGCCAGAGAGAGGAAGGAGGAGGAGUCGCCGCCUCCGGCCGCGGCUUGGCGCGACGAGGAGAGGCAAGAGACCGAGGGAGAGAGGGAAGAGGGAGAAGUGGAGCAGCUGUGGGCGUGAGCUAUGUGUGUUGUGGUGUGAGUUAGAUUAGGGAUUUAAGGGAGUAGAAGGAAAUAUGGGCUUAGGAAUGGGCUCAGAUUAAUUAAGUAAUUGGGCUGCAUUUAUUUUGCUCUUGGGCUGCAUAAUUCUUUUAAUUAAAUUGGACUUGGUAUUUUUUUUUUACACUAACCCAAAUUUUAAAGUAAACAUGCAUCUCAUUAUUUAUUUCAUUUUAUUAUAUUUAAUGGAUUAAGAAUUUUAUAAAUCAAAUACUCAAGUUUUAAUUAAAUAAAUAUCAACCCACCCAUAUUUUUUUAUUAAGAAAAUAUAUUUUACUACUUAAAUUUAUUAGAUCAAUUAUUUUUAAAUUAGAUCCUAUAGUUUAUAUUAUUUUCCUAAAAGUUCAAAUAGGCCCUUAUGUAUUAUUAUUUGAAUUUAUAUGACUAGGUGCGGUCGCGACUAGGACAUAACUGUUGAUCUGUAAAUUAUUCAAGUUAUCUAUCAAAUCCAUAUUUUCAGGUGUGGGAUUUAUUUCAGUACAUGCACGUGGUUAAUAUUUGUCCAUUUUAAUAUUAUGUGUUUACCGUAUGUGUUGUAAAAAUAUUUAUCGCUAGGGGCCAGCAUAAUUGGUCCAGGACUUCACCGUCCUUGGUAUGCCACAAUGCGAUUUCAUGUUACAGGGUUGCAACCAUUAUAUUGUCGCCAGGGGCCCACAUAUAGGGUCCGGGACAUUAAAGUCCUUGGAUUGCCACAGUGCGUAUGGAAGUUAUGUUACGUUAUGACAAUAUGUGUUACCAUUUUAUUAACAUGGACAAUUAUUGCAUGUUCCCACACUGAGUGUACCUGUAUGCUCAUCCCAUAUUCAACAGUUUCAGGUGAUUGAUAUCGGAGGUCGCGUGGAGAGUCGAAUGGGCGCGUCGAAUCUAUUUAAAGAUAAAUGUUUCCUAAAACAUAUUAUGUUAUUUCAUGUGAUAUCUCUUGAUUAUGUAAACUCUGAAAUUCUAUACUAUUUGAGAUUUGUGUGUGAUUUGUUUAAAUAAAUGUUAUUAUAUUAUUUUAAUGUCAUGACUUGUUUAAUUUAUAUUUAAAUUCAUUUCAAAUAUUUAUUUAAGAAUUUAUAUCUUUACGAAAAUAUAUACAUGGAUACAUACAUAAUUUUUAAUAUAUAAAGAUUUUAUUUUGUUAUAUUUUCCGCUGCUAAAAAGAUAUUAUUUUAUACUUAGAGUUUUUCCUUAGUAAAAGUUUUUAUUAAUUAGUUAAUUAUUUUUCUGACAUCUUCAUGUCGUGCUUUGAAAAUAAAGUUGUUUAAAUUUAUGAAUUCAAAAUCAAGUUUUAUAUUUGAAUACAUUAUUGAAAAUUUUGAUAUCUUAUAAAUCGUUUUAAAAGUGCUUUAAAAACCAAUUUUAUUUAAAGAUUUCUUUUUCUUAAAAUUAUUUUCGAAAAUAUUUAUUUUAAAAGUGAGUUUUAAAUUAUUUUAAAAGACUUCCGCAUUAAAUAUUUAUUUAAAUUUUAUAUUUAACUCCUUAAUUAGAUUAGGGUGUUACAGCAUGGUAUCAGAGCAGGUCUACUUUCCUGUAGACUCUGCAAAAUAAAAAUUUUCUUAGAGUCUGCAAAAUAAAAAUUUUCUUAAACUGUUUUAGUCAAGUGAAAAUCCAUUCGACCUCUACGUGCUCCGACUAAGGUAAAAGUUAUUUUAAAAGUUUUAAGGGGAUGAGUAUAAACUGUUUAUAUUCCGAAUUUAUGUUAAAUUUGCUGCAAUAAUUGAAGUUGUUAUCAGAAAGUUCAAGUUCAUUAUGCAAGUUAUUAUGAGAAAGUUCAGUAUACAAGUUAUUAUGUUGAAGAUUAAUUGCAGCAAUGAAUUUAUUUCAGAAAUUAUUUCAGUUCAUGAUGUUAAAGUAUGAUUCACGAAAAUUUAUUUUUUGAACAUAGUCCUCGAAUUACGAAUAACCUAGAAUUUUCUUUUAGUAUCAUUCUCUCAAGCGAGUGUAGAAUAGAAACUGAUAGUGCCUUUGAAUAUAGAACAAUGAGGAAUACACGCGCACAGUCCCACAACGCCGAGAGUUCAAAUACUAAUCACGAAGCAGAAGCAGGACGAACUCAUCCAACAAAUGGAGGAGACUUCAUGGGUCAAUUCUUGAGCGCUUUACAGGGUUUUGUCCAACAGCAGGCCCAAACUCAGGCUACCCAAACCGACCUAAACCGAACCUCUAACACGAUAGAUCAAGCUGUAGAGCGAUUUCGGAACUAUAAUCCACCACGAUUCAAUGGACGUGAUGGACCACUAGCAGCCGAAGAGUGGUUGGAAGAGCUCGAACGUAUCUUCACUCACAUCAACUGUAGUGAUGAGCAGAAAGUUUCAUGCGCUGUUUUUCAACUCAAAGAGGACGCUCGACAAUGGUGGAAACAUUUCUAUCGCUUGUUGGGAGAAAGAAGUUGCUAUUCAAGGAUCAAAGUUAAGGAAAAUGCCCAUGGUGAUAUCUGCUAUGAAGGCGAUGAAGAUAUUGAAUAAAGGAGGCUGCAACGCUUAUUUGGUGAGCAUAGUAGGCAAGGAAAAUGAUGAACUCACCCUUGAAAAUGUUCCAGUAGUAUGCGAAUUCUCCGACGUUUUCCCCGAAAAUCUACCUGGAAUACCACCUGAUAGGCAAGUAGAGUUUACGAUCGAUUUGUUACCUGGAGUAGCACCUGUUUCGAAAGCACCGUAUAGAAUGGCACCAAAGGAAUUGGAGGAAUUGAAGACACAAUUACAAGAACUUUUGGACCUAGGGUUUAUUCGACCAAGUGUAUCACCCUGGGGAGCGCCAGUCUUGUUUGUCAAGAAGAAAGACGGAACAAUGCGGAUGUGUAUCGACUAUCGAGAACUCAAUCAACUCACCAUCAAGAACAAGUAUCCUCUGCCAAGGAUAGAGGAUUUAUUCGAUCAGUUGAAAGGAGCAGGAGUGUUUUACAAAAUCGAUUUGAGGUCGGGUUAUCACCAACUCAAAAUAAAGGAAGGUGAUAUACCAAAGACGGCUUUUCGAACGAGAUAUGGCCAUUACGAAUUCGUAGUCAUGCCUUUUGGUUUAACAAACGCCCCUGCGGUAUUUAUGGAUUUGAUGAACCGCGUUUUCCAUCCUUAUUUGGAUAAGUUUGUCAUAGUGUUCAUUGAUGACAUUCUGAUAUAUUCUAAGGACAAAGCGCAACACGAAGAACAUCUCAGAAUCACUUUGGAAACCUUAUGAAAUGAGAAACUCUACGCCAAAUUUAAGAAGUGUGAAUUUUGGCUAGAUCAAGUUGUCUUUCUCGGUCAUGUGGUGAGUGCUAAUGGAAUUAAGGUGGACCCAGCGAAGGUGGAAGCUGUAAAUAACUGGAAGGCACCUACCAACGCCAGUGAAGUGAGAAGUUUCUUAGGGCUCGCUGGUUAUUAUAGAAGAUUCAUCGAGGGAUUUUCAAAGAUAGCAGGCUCAAUGACACAACUAACCAGAAAGGAGUUGUGUUCAAGUGGACUGAUCAAUGCGAGCAGAGGUUUUCAGGAAUUGAAAAGAAGGUUAACAACAGCACCAGUGUUGACCAUACCCGAUGAAUCAGGAAAUUUCGUCAUUUAUACCGACGCCUCGAAGCAAGGUCUGGGAUGUGUUUUAAUGCAGAAAGGAAAGGUUAUCGCUUACGCGUCAAGGCAGUUGAAGACGCACGAACAUAACUACCCUACGCAUGAUUUGGAGCUAGCAGCCGUAGUGCACGCACUAAAGAUUUGGAGACAUUACUUGUAUGGGGGAAAAUGUGAGAUCUUCACAGAUCAUAAGAGUUUGAAAUAUUUCUUCACGCAAAAGGAGUUGAAUAUGAGGCAAAGAAGGUGGCUAGAACUCGUGAAGGAUUAUGAUUGUACCAUACAGUAUCACCCUGGAAAGGCUAAUGUGGUGGCCGAUGCACUUAGCAGAAAAGGAGAAGGACAACUAGUCUCAAUGAUAACUCAACAAGAAACCUUGAUAAAAGAAUUUGAAAGGAUGAAUCUCGAGGUGGUUAGUCCAAAUACCCCAGAGGCUACGCUUGCAGCACUAGUUGUUAAACCUACAUUGCGUGAUCGUAUUAGAAAAGCGCAGGAGACCAACAGCUUCCUCCAGAAAAUGAAAAGUAAGGGGUUAAAAGACAAUAAUACAAGUUUCUCAUUGGCAAGUGAUGGAACACUUACAUAUGCAGGGAGAAUUUGCGUCCCUAAGGAUAAAGAAUUGAUAAGAGAAAUUUUGGAUGAGGCGCACUGCACGACUUACACAGCACACCCAGGAAGCACUAAGAUGUACAAAGAUCUUCGAAAUAUAUUUUGGUGGAGAGGAAUGAAGAGGUCAAUAGCUGAGUAUGUUGGAAGAUGUAUGACAUGUCAACAAGUGAAAGCUGAACAUCAACGACCGUCGGGAUUGCUAAAUCCAUUGGAGAUACCCGAAUGGAAAUGGGAACACAUUACGAUGGACUUCGUGGUGAGACUUCCAAGAACAAUACGUGGACACGAUGCAGUUUGGGUAGUUGUAGAUCGACUCACUAAGUCCGCACACUUCAUUCCAGUAAAAAUGACAUACUCAAUGGACCAAUUGGCGAGACUGUAUGUUCAAGAGGUGGUUAGACUACAUGGAGUGCCAGUAUCUAUUGUCUCUGAUCGAGAUCCAAGAUUUACAUCCAGAUUCUGGAAAAGCUUACACGCAGCUAUGGGAACUAAACUUAACUUUUCAACAGCAUAUCAUCCUCAAACAGACGGACAAUCCGAAAGGACUAUACAAAUUUUGGAAGAUAUGUUGCGGACUAGUAUCAUGGAUAUUGGAGGCACUUGGGAAACUCAUCUACCAUUAAUCGAGUUUGCAUACAACAACAGUUUUCAAACAACUCUUAGAAUGGCUCCGUAUGAGGCAUUAUAUGGGAGAAAGUGUAGAUCGCCAUUAUAUUGGGACGAAGUUGGUGAACGAAAAGUGUUAGGUCCGGAAAUCAUUGAGAAGACGGUUGAGGUCAUUGAGAAGAUAAAGGAGAGGAUUAAAAUGGCGCAGGAUCGACAGAAAUCUUAUGCAGAUCGCAGAAGAAAGGAGUUAUAUUUCGAGGUUGGUGAAAAAGUAUUUAUCAAAGUAGCACCAAUGAAAGGAGUUCUACGAUUCGGAAAGAAAGGAAAAUUGAGACCUCGAUUUAUUGGACCGUUUGAAAUCCUAGAACGCAUAGGUGAUGUUGCCUAUCGUCUAGCUUUAACACCAGAAUUGUCAGCAGUGCACAAUGUGUUUCACGUUUCCAUGUUGCGAAAGUAUCUGCACGAUCCUAGUCACAUCGUCCAUUAUGAAAAUCUCCAAAUCAACAAGGACCUUACAUACGAAGAAGAGCCAAGUGUUAUAUUAGAUCGAAAAGUAAAGGUCUUGCGAGGUAAAGAAAUACCCUUAGUCAAAAUUCAAUGGACUAGGCACGGACCUGAUGAAGCUACUUGGGAACGUGAAGAAGAAAUUCUAGCUCGAUAUCCCCAGUUAGAACCAAGUAAGUUAAAUUUCGAGGACGAAAUUUUAUUUAAGUGGGUAGGGUUGUGACAGCCCGAAACCAAAUAAUUCAUUUAAAUUUUUGUUUUAAAUUAUUUCAUAUUUAAAUUAUUUUGAAGCAUUUUAUAUUUAAAUUGUGAGGUUAUUCAAAUUUUAGUCUAUGUCAUGAAUUAUCUAAUCGCGCCCCUAGUUAGAUGUAUGAUUUCGAACUAUAGAUUAUAUCUAUGGAAAUGGAAGAUUAUAUUCAAUUAAUUUUACUUUAAUUUGGGCUUAAAUACUAUUAUUUGCAAUUUAAUAUAUGUUGGACCUUGUUUAAUUUUUAAUCUAAGCUUAUAUACAUUAUACCGGCCCAUUUACUUAUCAUACAUUCCAAGCCCAUAUAUAUAUAUAUAUAUAUAAUUAUUGUGUAAUUAACUUUUUAUUGAAAUGAAAAUGAGAUUAACGUGUAUCUUUCUUUCAGCUAACCAAAUUUGAUUUCACUAAGAUUUGAUUUUUUUUCUUCACAAGCAGCAAAUUUAUGAUCUCUUUCACAUUCAAAUCUUUGACGACGAACGAGUAAAUUCAAUCUAUUUAAACCUCAUUGUAUCAUCCUCAUUCCAUCAGCUUCGAAUCAUAAACCAUCAACUGAAUUCUCCAUUUGCUCUUUUCACAAAAUAACUCAAAUCUGCCACUCUCACUACAAAUUUCAGCUUUGCCACUUUCAGCUGGUAACUUUAAUUUCUUCUGUAAUUUCAUUUUAGUACAUCAAUUAUUUUAUGCAAAAACAAAACUUUCACAAAUCUUUCGUUUUACACAGCAUAUGCAUAAUCAAAUAGAAUAAAUCUUAUAAAUUACAUGAAAAAGGGGAAAUAGAAAUAGAAGAGGAAGAGAGGGCGUCUGGUGGCUGCUGCGGGGCUGCUGUCCCAGUGGCGCCACUGCUGCGCUGUAGACACGGGGGUGAAGUCGUUGGAAAGAGGCGACGAAGAGAGGGAGAGUGAGGGCGAGAGGAGGCAGAGCCGCCAGCUCCGGCGGCGGUGUUGCCGCCUGGUGGUGGCGGAAGGGGAAGACCGAGGGAGAGAAGGGAGAGGGAGAGGGAGAGGGAGAAAAGGGGAAGAAGGGGGCUGCGUAGGAAAUGGGCGUGAGAGUUGUGUGUGUGUUUGUGAAGUGUGAAUGUGUAAGUUUAAUUAGGGAAAUGUUAGAUGGGCUUGACUUUAGGUUAGUUUAAUUAUAAAUGGGCUUUAAUUGGGGCUUAAUUUAUUGAAUAAGUUGGGCUUAAUUCUACUUUUAAUAUGGCUGCAUUUACAUAUAUUUUUACAAUGAUAUUAUAAAAUUUUAUAUUUUCAAUUUACACUAUUAAUUUAAAUUUAGUUUUCAUUAAAUAUUGAGCUCAAAUAUUUUCAUAAGAAAAACUCUUUUAUAAUCUAUUAGACCAAUAAUUUUUAAAUGGCUAUAUGAUAAUAAAUUCUUAAGAUUUAAAUUACUAUUAUUAUUAUUUUUUUUAAUUCAAUUAGGCCCUUAUGUUUAUUAUUUGAAUUUAUCUGACUAGGUGCGGCGCGACUAGGACAUAACUGUUGAUCUGAAAUUAUUCAAGUUAUCUAUCAAAUCCAUAUUUUCAGGUGUGGGAUUUAUUUCAGUACAUGCACGUGGUUAAUAUUUGUCCAUUUUAAUAUUAUGUGUUUACCGUAUGUGUUGUAAAAAUAUUUAUCGCUAGGGGCCAGCAUAAUUGGUCCAGGACUUCACCGUCCUUGGUAUGCCACAAUGCGAUUUCAUGUUACAGGGUUGAAACCAUUAUAUUGUCGCCAGGGGCCCACAUAUAGGGUCCGGGACAUUAAAGUCCUUGGAUUGCCACAGUGCGUAUGGAAGUUAUGUUACGUUAUGACAAUAUGUGUUACCAUUUUAUUAACAUGGACAAUUAUUGCAUGUUCCCACAUUGAGUGUACCCUGUAUGCUCAUCCCAUAUUCAACAGUUUCAGGUGAUUGAUAUCGGAGGCGCGUGGAGAGUCGAAUGGGCGCGUCGAAUCUACUUAAAAAUAAAUGUUUCCCAAAACAUAUUAUGUUAUUUCAUGUGAUAUCUCUUGAUUAUGU
This 8190-nucleotide long non-coding RNA is filed under the name Salvia miltiorrhiza (redroot sage). RNAcentral's name for it is "long non-coding RNA (SMIL_LNC007989)". Lineage: Eukaryota; Viridiplantae; Streptophyta; Magnoliopsida; Lamiales; Lamiaceae. The record is from RNAcentral.